AACGAACGCUGGCGGCGUGCCUAACACAUGCAAGUCGAACGCGAAAACCCGCAAGGGUGAGUAGAGUGGCGCACGGGUGAGUAACACGUAAACGAUCUGUCUAGGACAUCGGGAUAACCGUUCGAAAGGAUGGCUAAUACCGGAUAAGCCCACGGCUUUGGGGUUGUGGGAAAAGGGUUGGGACCGUCACAGGCCAAUCGGUUUUGGAGGAGUUUGCGGCCCAUCAGGUAGUUGGCGGGGUAAAGGCCCACCAAGCCUAAGACGGGUAGCUGGUCUGAGAGGAUGAUCAGCCACACUGGAACUGAGACACGGUCCAGACUCCUACGGGAGGCAGCAGUGGGGAAUCUUGCGCAAUGGACGAAAGUCUGACGCAGCAACGCCGCGUGGGUGAUGAAGGUCUUCGGAUCGUAAAGCCCUGUCGGAGGGGAAGAUGCUUUAUUUGUCUAAUCGACAGAUAAGGUGACGGUACCCUUAAAGGAAGCACCGGCUAACUCUGUGC
This 499-nucleotide ribosomal RNA is filed under the name uncultured bacterium. RNAcentral describes it as "bacterial SSU rRNA". It matches the Rfam family "Bacterial small subunit ribosomal RNA", at positions 29 to 508 of the family's 1533-position model. The record is from RNAcentral.